UAGUCAUAUGCUUGUCUCAAAGAUUAAGCCAUGCAUGUCUAAGUAUAAACAUCUUUAUACAGUGAAACUGCGUACAGCUCAUUAUAUCAGUUAUUAUUUAUUUGAUGGUACCUUACUACAUGGAUACCCGUAGUAAUUCUAGAGCUAAUACAUGCGUAAAGUCCCGACUUUUUGGAAGGGAUGUAUUUAUUAGAUUAAAAACCAAUGCAGGCAACUGCUCCUUUGGUGAUUCAUAGUAACUUUAACGGAUCGCACGGCUUCACGUCGGCGACAGUUCAUUCAAAUUUCUGCCCUAUCAGCUUUCGACGGUACUGUAUUGGACUACCGUGGCAUUAACGGGUGACGGAGAAUUAGGGUUCGAUUCCGGAGAGGGAGCCUGAGAAACGGCUACCACAUCCAAGGAAAGGCGCAGGCGCGCAAAUUACCCAAUCCUGACACAGGGAGGUAGUGACAAAAAAAUAACAUACCGGGCCUUUUUAGGUCUGGUAAUUGGGAAUGAGUACAAUU
RNAcentral lists this ribosomal RNA (507 nucleotides) under uncultured eukaryote. Its description in RNAcentral is "SSU rRNA". It matches the Rfam family "Eukaryotic small subunit ribosomal RNA", at positions 21 to 525 of the family's 1831-position model. The record is from RNAcentral.